This 253-nucleotide ribosomal RNA is filed under the name uncultured bacterium. RNAcentral describes it as "partial 16S ribosomal RNA". It matches the Rfam family "Bacterial small subunit ribosomal RNA", at positions 524 to 776 of the family's 1533-position model. The record is from RNAcentral.
UACAGAGGUCUCAAGCGUUGUUCGGAAUUACUGGGCGUAAAGCGCACGUAGGCGGACUAUUAAGUCAGGGGUGAAAUCCCGGGGCUCAACCCCGGAACUGCCUUUGAUACUGGUAGUCUCGAGUCCGGAAGAGGUGAGUGGAAUUCCGAGUGUAGAGGUGAAAUUCGUAGAUAUUCGGAGGAACACCAGUGGCGAAGGCGGCUCACUGGUCCGGUACUGACGCUGAGGUGCGAAAGCGUGGGGAGCAAACAGG